This is a non-coding RNA of Taeniopygia guttata (zebra finch), 743 nucleotides long. The record is from RefSeq and is a predicted model, not a curated record. Lineage: Eukaryota; Metazoa; Chordata; Aves; Passeriformes; Estrildidae.
ACAAGAAGGGGACCCUCCAGCUCCAGGCUGGAUGAGCAGACACUCAGGGAACAACCAGACCUUUGUUUACCAUCAAUGCAGAUGUCAUAAGGACCAGGAACCCGCAUUCGCCAAGGACCGACCCGUGCCUAUCAGGGACCGCACUCUCCGCACACUGGGAAGUUUAUUCCUACAUAAAUAUAUUCGUAUUAACAGGCACAUUCUAUCUAAGAAGGACGUUUGAAAUAAUUCCAUCCGAGCCAGCACAAACCCCAGCAGGGUGGGAUGCGGGCGACCAGGGCGGGAUGCGGGUGGACCUCUCCGUGAAAGAGGCUGAAGCCACAGCGAGAAACAGAACAAACAAACAACGUCUGAAUACCUGAGAUUAGAAGGCAGACUCUGAAUUGAUCACAAAUCCUUCUGGUUUUAAAUGGUGAAAGGAAAACACCCAGAGAGGAAACACCCAGAGAAGAAACCAAUUUAUUUCACCCAGAAGACUGUGGACUGAGGAAGCUUUGGCAGUAUUCACAUUCCCCAGAAGACGGAUUCUGAAUGGAAAAGGCAAUGGAGCAAAGAUCAGUUUAUUUUUUCAUGAAUGCAGAUAAAACAUUCCUUACGAACUGCACAAGGAGGUCUCACUCUGCACUGUAGGGUCAGGCAACUGGCAUCAGAAUUAGAACAUGAGCUCAAGUUGGCCAAAAGCAGCCUGGGGUUAGGCUGGACUUGUUACAUGCUCUGGAAACUGCUGGGAACAGCAGGGGAAA